This 87-nucleotide transfer RNA is filed under the name Brevundimonas vesicularis. RNAcentral describes it as "tRNA-Leu". It matches the Rfam family "tRNA". Rfam says of the family: Transfer RNA (tRNA) molecules are approximately 80 nucleotides in length. Lineage: Bacteria; Pseudomonadati; Pseudomonadota; Alphaproteobacteria; Caulobacterales; Caulobacteraceae. The record is from RNAcentral. RNAcentral also lists the same sequence under 23 other names.
GCGGGCGUGGCGAAACUGGUAGACGCAGCAGACUUAAAAUCUGCCGGACGAAAGUCCUUGCCGGUUCAAGCCCGGCCGCCCGCACCA